This 484-nucleotide ribosomal RNA is filed under the name uncultured bacterium. RNAcentral describes it as "partial 16S ribosomal RNA". It matches the Rfam family "Bacterial small subunit ribosomal RNA", at positions 30 to 507 of the family's 1533-position model. The record is from RNAcentral.
AUUGAACGCUGGCGGCAGGCCUAACACAUGCAAGUCGAGCGGAUGGAGGGAGCUUGCUCCUGGAUUCAGCGGCGGACGGGUGUGUAAUGCCUAGGAAUCUGCCUGGUAGUGGGUGAUAACGUCCGGAAAAGGGUGCUAAUACCGCAUACGUCCUGCGGGAGAAAGUGGGGGAUGUUCGGACCUCACGCUAUCAGAUGAGUCUAGGUCGGAUUAGCUAGUUUGUGGGGUAAAGGCCUACCAAGGCGAGGAUUGGUAACUGGCCUGAGAGGAUGAUCAGUCACCCUGGAACUGAGACACGGUCCAGACUCCUGCGGGAGGCAGCAGUGGGGAAUGUUGGACAAUGGGCGAAAGCCUGGUACAGCCAUGCCGCGUGUGUGAAGAAGGUCUUCGGAUUGUAAAGCACUUUAAGUUGGGAGGAAGGGCAGUAAGUUAAUACCUUGCUGUUUUGACGUUACCAACAGAAUAAGCACCGGCUAACUUCGUG